GUAGUGAGUUUAAUCAAUGAAAACAAAUCAGUCAGCAGAGCAUGAGAUUCUUAAUCUCAGGGUUGUGGGUUCAAGCCCCACCUUGUGCA
Non-coding RNA from Podarcis lilfordi (Lilford's wall lizard), 89 nucleotides. The record is from the annotation of a GenBank genome assembly. Lineage: Eukaryota; Metazoa; Chordata; Lepidosauria; Squamata; Lacertidae.